This is an RNA transcript of Papaver somniferum (opium poppy), 2464 nucleotides long. It is a transcript of the gene named transcription termination factor MTERF4, chloroplastic-like, with no coding region annotated. Lineage: Eukaryota; Viridiplantae; Streptophyta; Magnoliopsida; Ranunculales; Papaveraceae. The record is from RefSeq and is a predicted model, not a curated record. The transcript has 3 exons.
GCUACCAUUGAGCCACAGAUCCAAUUGUUUAUUUUAAGUGACACAGCCAAUGAUAAAUCUACGCUUUUUUGUUUUUGAUGGCAGUAUAGCUGUUUGUAAAACUCCCAUUUCGCAAUCGCCUUGGUGGAGAAGCAGCAGCGGCAAUCAUUUCUUCUCCAAGUUCAGGUGCGUUGAUGAAAUGAGCUUAAUCUUUAGAAAAAAGUCUUCAUCAAGUCUGCAAUUGUAUCGAAGUCUUUAUGUAACUUCUUUGAUUACUCAUGUUUCAGAACCAAUUCAUUCUUCAAAACCCCUAGAAAAUUUAUGUCAUAAACUUUCAAGUUCUAGGGUUUUAUCAAGAAGUAGUCGUUUAUGUUUUUCUACGCAGACAAGUAACAAGUUUCCUGAAUAUGAAAUGCCAACAGUAACAUGGGGUGUAGUACAAGGAAGAAAAGAAAAGCUGGUAUCUAGAGUUAUUAUUUGUGAUUAUCUAAAAGGUUUAGGUAUAAUACCUGAUGAAUUAGAGGAUCUAGAAUUACCAUCAACAAUUGAAGUAAUGAAAGAACGAGUUGAAUUCCUUCAAAAGAUUGGAUUAACUAUCGAUGAUAUAAAUGAUUAUCCAUUAAUGUUAGGAUGUAGUGUUAGAAAAAAUAUUAUACCUGUUUUAGGUUAUUUAGAAAAAGUUGGAAUUUCUAGACCGAAAUUGGGAGAGUUUAUUAAGAGUUAUCCUCAAGUUCUUCAUGCUAGUGUCGUUGUUGAGCUUGUUCCGGUGAUUAAAUUUCUUCGUGGUAUAGAUAUUGAAAGACAAGAUAUUGGUUAUGUAUUGAUGAAAUAUCCUGAGAUUUUAGGGUUUAAGCUUGAAGGAACAAUGAGUACUUCUGUUGGUUAUUUGGUUAGUAUUGGUGUGAAUCCUAGAGAUAUUGGACCAAUGGUAACUCAAUUUCCUUAUCUUUUAGGAAUGAGAGUUGGUACUAGGAUUAAACCGACUGUUGAUUACUUGGUAUCAUUAGGCAUUCCGAAAAAGAUUCUGGCUAGGAUGCUUGAAAAACGGCCUAAUGUUCUUGGGUAUGAUCUUGAAGAGACUAUUAAACCGAAUGUGGAUUGUUUAGCUAGUUUUGGCAUACGAAGGGAGAUGCUUGCAUCAGUUAUUGCUCAAUACCCGCAGAUUCUGGGGAUUCCUUUGAAGGCUAAAUUGUCUUCGCAGCAAUAUUUUUUCAAUCUGAAGCUUAAGAUUGAUCCGGAAGGAUUUGCAAGGGUCAUUGAGAAGAUGCCACAGAUAGUUAGUCUUAACCAGACUGUAAUUUUGAGACCCAUUGAGUUCCUUCGUGCAAGGGGCAUAUUUGCAGAAGAUGUGGCAAGAAUGGUUAUCAAAUGCCCACAGUUGGUUGCUCUUCAAGUUGAGUCCAUGAAGAACAGUUUUCACUUCCUCAAGUGUGAAAUGAAGCGAGCGUUCGAAGAGGUUAUAGAGUUCCCUGAAUACUUCACAUAUAGCUUGGAUUCAAGAAUAAAACCUAGAUAUCAGAGGUUUGCGAAUAAAGGGAUUAGAUGUAGUUUGGCAUGGUUUCUUAACUGUAGCAAUCAGAGAUUUGAAGAGAGGUUACAAGCUGAUUAUAUUGAGGUAGAAAGUGAAGGGCCUUCAUUUUUUAUGGGAGGGAAGUUAGAUUUACCAGGGGGUGAACUUGUCUCUGACGAGGAUGAAGAUGAGAGUGACGGUGAAGUUCUCUGUAGACGUACUGUUUCCUUGUAACUUUAUGCAAUUUUGUCUAUCUUCUUUUCAAACACAAAUUAUUGCUCGUCUUUAACCAAUUGGUCCCUUCAGCAUCUUCAAGCCCGGAGCAAAUUAGUCCCUUUCAUUGUCUUUAAAUUUCAUUCUGUUUUGUGUAACCUUAGAGGAUAAGGGAGACUAUAGUGCAGGUAGUGGUGUCGAGCAGUGUCAAACACGAGAGCCAUUGCCGAUACAUAUCGACGCUGCGAAGCUAUGUAAAUGCAGUACUCUUGUUACAGCGACCAAAUAUUACUUUCUUUAUUUCUUAAUAAACUGAUGCGACGAAACAUGACGAGAUUUGGAGGCUUGUGAUAAAUGAUAUCCAUGGAAAGUCACAAGUCAUAAAUUGCCGACUGGGGUACUGUCUUAAAAGUUCUACUCAACAGAAGGAUGCCAUGAUUGAAGGGGAGAGAAUCCAAACUGACAUCUUCAACAAUUUCAGAAUACCAUGAAGUCUUAGGCAAGGAACCAAAGACGGUAAUAGGGCUAUGCUGCAAGCCUUCUCGUUUUCGUUGACAGACUUAGCAGAAGAAUGGUUAUUACCUUCCUUGGAGUGUUUCAACGAGAUGAAAACGCUAUUUCUGAAGAAAUACUUUCCUGCUUCCAAAGCAACAUCCGUUCAGAGAGAUAUAAGAGGUUGUUGGCAAGCUGUCCACACCACAAUAUAUCUCCAACAUUAAUCAUUCAAUAUUUUUACGAAGGAUUACUUCCGGAACAAACAAA